This 253-nucleotide ribosomal RNA is filed under the name uncultured bacterium. RNAcentral describes it as "partial 16S ribosomal RNA". It matches the Rfam family "Bacterial small subunit ribosomal RNA", at positions 524 to 776 of the family's 1533-position model. The record is from RNAcentral.
UACGUAGGUGGCAAGCGUUGUCCGGAUUUACUGGGCGUAAAGGAUGCGUAGGCGGAUACUUAAGUGGGAUGUGAAAUACCCGGGCUCAACCUGGGUGCUGCAUUCCAAACUGGAUAUCUGGAGUGCGGGAGAGGAGAGUGGAAUUCCUAGUGUAGCGGUGAAAUGCGUAGAGAUUAGGAAGAACACCAGUGGCGAAGGCGACUCUCUGGACCGUAACUGACGCUGAGGCAUGAAAGCGUGGGGAGCAAACACG